Molecule: ribosomal RNA, 1223 nt
Filed under: wallaby gut metagenome
Description: bacterial SSU rRNA
Rfam family: Bacterial small subunit ribosomal RNA
Source: RNAcentral
AGAGUUUGAUCCUGGCUCAGGAUGAACGCUAGCGGCAGGCUUAACACAUGCAAGUCGAGGGGCAGCGUGGAGUAGCAAUACUCUGACGGCGACCGGCAAAAGGGUGCGUAACGCGUGAGCAACUUGCCCGUAUCAGGGGGAUAACCGGUGGAAACGCCGACUAAUACCCCGUAAUAAGAGGAACUGCAUGGUUCUUUUUUGAUAGAUCCGUCGGAUACGGAUGGGCUCGCGUGACAUUAGCUAGUUGGUGAGGUAACGGCUCACCAAGGCGACGAUGUCUAGGGGUUCUGAGAGGAAGAUCCCCCACACUGGAACUGAGACACGGUCCAGACUCCUACGGGAGGCAGCAGUGAGGAAUAUUGGACAAUGGAGGCAACUCUGAUCCAGCCAUGCCGCGUGAAGGACUAAGGCCCUAUGGGUCGUAAACUUCUUUUGACGCAGAGCAAUAAGGGUUACGUGUAAUCCGACGAGAGUAUGCGUCGAAUAAGCAUCGGCUAACUCCGUGCCAGCAGCCGCGGUAAUACGGAGGAUGCAAGCGUUAUCCGGAUUUAUUGGGUUUAAAGGGUGCGUAGGCGGAUGAUUAAGUCAGCGGUGAAAGGUCCCGGCUCAACCGGGGAGCUGCCGUUGAUACUGGUUGUCUUGAAUGCGGAUGCCGUGGGAGGAAUGUGUAGUGUAGCGGUGAAAUGCAUAGAUAUUACACAGAACACCGAUUGCGAAGGCAUCUCACGAAUCCGUAAUUGACGCUGAGGCACGAAAGCGUGGGGAUCAAACAGGAUUAGAUACCCUGGUAGUCCACGCAGUAAACGAUGAUGACUAACCGCCGGCGAUACAAUGUCGGUGGCCAAGCGAAAGCGAUAAGUCAUCCACCUGGGGAGUACGACCGCAAGGUUGAAACUCAAAGGAAUUGACGGGGGCCCGCACAAGCGGAGGAACAUGUGGUUUAAUUCGAUGAUACGCGAGGAACCUUACCCGGGCUCGAACGGCAACUGAAUAUACAAGAGAUUGUAUAGUCUUCGGACAGUUGUCGAGGUGCUGCAUGGUUGUCGUCAGCUCGUGCCGUGAGGUGUCGGCUUAAGUGCCAUAACGAGCGCAACCCUUGCCGUCAGUUACCAUCAAGUAGUGUUGGGGACUCUGGCGGGACUGCCACCGCAAGGUGUGAGGAAGGGGGGGAUGACGUCAAAUCAGCACGGCCCUUACGUCCGGGGCGACACACGUGUACAAUG